AGUCAGUAUCUCCUCCAAGGAGAAUGAAAUAAUUCACUUGUUUAGUUUCUUUGCUUAAGAAUUGGAUUGUGCUCAUGCUCUUGAUCUUAUUUUCAUCGU
RNAcentral lists this ribosomal RNA (99 nucleotides) under Platyophrya macrostoma. Its description in RNAcentral is "partial Eukaryotic large subunit ribosomal RNA". Lineage: Eukaryota; Ciliophora; Colpodea; Cyrtolophosidida; Platyophryidae. The record is from RNAcentral.